GACGAACGCUGGCGGCGUGCUUAACACAUGCAAGUCGAACGGAAAGGCCCUGCUUGCAGGGUACUCGAGUGGCGAACGGGUGAGUAACACGUGGGUGAUCUGCCCUGCACUUCGGGAUAAGCCUAGGAAACUGGGUCUAAUACCGGAUAGGAGCCAUUUUUAGUGUGAUGGUUGGAAAGUUUUUUCGGUGUAGGAUGAGCUCGCGGCCUAUCAGCUUGUUGGUGGGGUAAUGGCCUACCAAGGCGGCGGCGGGUAGCCGGCCUGAGAGGGUGGACGGCCACAUUGGGACCGAGGUACGGCCCAGGUUGCGACGGGAGGCAGCAGUGGGGAAGAUUGCACAAGGGGCGCAAGCCUGAUGCAGCGACGCCGCGUGGGGGAUGACGGCCUUCGGGUUGUAAACUCCUUUCGCUAGGGACGAAGCUUUUUGUGACGGUACCUAGAGAAGAAGCACCGGCUAACUACGUG
Molecule: ribosomal RNA, 465 nt
Filed under: uncultured bacterium
Lineage: Bacteria
Description: partial 16S ribosomal RNA
Rfam family: Bacterial small subunit ribosomal RNA
Source: RNAcentral